CGCCCAUCAAAUCAGCAGUUCUUGGACACCGCAUCCAUGGAUGGGAAAAGAGGCCUUGAACCUGUCCUCGCUGGUGAGCUUGAAGGAGUGUGUUCUGAGAAACUCUGAGGUCUAUGCAGUCUGAGUCAAGGCGUCAGGCAUCAGUUUUGCAGAAAUGUGCUUCUGGGAGUCAAGGAGCUCAACCCUGACCUUCCACUGGGAAGUGAGGAUGUAAUGUUACUUACAACAUUUGAUAUGAACUGAAGAUUACUGAGCUCAUCACCAUUACUGUAGCAUCCAGCUUUGUGGAUGGAGCAGCUCCUGGACUCUGAGCAUCUGCAGCAUGCUAUCAGUCACUGGGGACUACCUAGGACUAGUAGUCAUAAGCUAUUCCAGUAAAUGUGCUCUGAUAAAAUAUCUGAUUGUUUCUUUAAUUCCCAAAGUCUUUUGGGAAGACUUUAAUUCCCAAAGUCUUCAGUGUUUCAAUCUCCUUGCUGAA
This is a non-coding RNA of Myodes glareolus (Bank vole), 478 nucleotides long. Lineage: Eukaryota; Metazoa; Chordata; Mammalia; Rodentia; Cricetidae. The record is from RefSeq and is a predicted model, not a curated record.